UCGAUCUCAAUCAAGUAAAGACUACCCGCU
Molecule: ribosomal RNA, 30 nt
Filed under: Mortierella sp. NJP14
Lineage: Eukaryota; Fungi; Mortierellomycota; Mortierellomycetes; Mortierellales; Mortierellaceae
Description: partial 28S ribosomal RNA
Source: RNAcentral